Molecule: ribosomal RNA, 403 nt
Filed under: Fusobacteriota bacterium
Lineage: Bacteria; Fusobacteriati; Fusobacteriota
Description: Fusobacteria bacterium partial 16S ribosomal RNA
Rfam family: Bacterial small subunit ribosomal RNA
Source: RNAcentral
UGGGGAAUCUUGCACAAUGGGGGAAACCCUGAUGCAGCGACGCCGCGUGAGCGAUGAAGGUUUUCGAAUCGUAAAGCUCUGUCCUAUGGGAAGAUAAUGACGGUACCAUGGGAGGAAGCCCCGGCUAACUACGUGCCAGCAGCCGCGGUAAUACGUAGGGGGCGAGCGUUGUCCGGAAUUACUGGGCGUAAAGGGUUCGCAGGCGGCAUGGCAAGUCCGAUGUAAAAGGCGAAGGCUCAACCUUCGUAGGCAUCGGAAACUGUCAAGCUUGAGUGAAGGAGAGGCAAGUGGAAUUCCUAGUGUAGCGGUGGAAUGCGUAGAUAUUAGGAGGAAUACCGGUGGCGAAGGCGACUUGCUGGACUUCAACUGACGCUGAGGAACGAAAGCGUGGGUAGCAAACAGG